Molecule: transfer RNA, 69 nt
Filed under: Brama japonica
Lineage: Eukaryota; Metazoa; Chordata; Actinopteri; Scombriformes; Bramidae
Description: tRNA-Arg
Rfam family: tRNA
About the family: Transfer RNA (tRNA) molecules are approximately 80 nucleotides in length. Their secondary structure includes four short double-helical elements and three loops (D, anti-codon, and T loops). Further hydrogen bonds mediate the characteristic L-shaped molecular structure. tRNAs have two regions of fundamental functional importance: the anti-codon, which is responsible for specific mRNA codon recognition, and the 3' end, to which the tRNAs corresponding amino acid is attached (by aminoacyl-tRNA synthetases). tRNAs cope with the degeneracy of the genetic code in two manners: having more than one tRNA (with a specific anti-codon) for a particular amino acid; and 'wobble' base-pairing, i.e. permitting non-standard base-pairing at the 3rd anti-codon position.
Source: RNAcentral
AGGUCGUUAGUUUAAGAAAAACACUUGAUUUCGGCUCAAGAACUUGUGGUUAAAAUCCGUAACUGCCUA